ACCUCAAGUCAUGUGAGAUUACCCGCUGAACUUAAGCAUAUCAAUAAGCGGAGGAAAAGAAACUAACAAGGAUUCCCCUAGUAACGGCGAGUGAAGCGGGAAGAGCACAAAUUUAAAAUCUACCUGGUUUUCAGGUCGAGUUGUAAUUUGAAGAUACGUUUUUGAUGUUCCAGGUUGGACUAAAUCCUUUGGGAUAAGGUAUCAUAGAGGGUGAGAAUCCCGUAUAUACCAACCGUAGGGAUGUUAUUAAAUACGUUUCUAAGAGUCGAGUUGUUUGGGAAUGCAGCUCUAAAUGGGUGGUAAAUUUCACCUAAUGCUAAAUAUAAGCGAGAGACCGAUAGCGAACAAGUACAGUGAUGGAAAGAUGAAAAGAACUUUGAAAAGAGAGUUAAAUAGUACGUGAAAUUGUUGAAAGGGAAACGAUUGAAGUCAGUCAUGCCGGUGGGAAUCAACUUAGGGGAAACUCUAGGUGCACUUCUUCGCUUGGCAGGUCAACGUCGAUUUUGAAUGUCAUAAAAUAAUUUGGGGAAGGUAGCUCCUUCGGGAGUGUUAUAGCCUUUGAUAGAUGUGAUGUUUGGGGUCGAGGAUUGCAACGAAUACCCUUUGGGGCUAGCCGCCUGAUCUCUAAUCGGUGUUGGGUUAUGGAUAGCAUGCUGACCGUGAUCUAAUUACUGGUUAAAAGGUUAGAGCGUGCAUAAAUUCGUUAAGGACGUUGACGUAAUGGCUUUAAACGACCCGUCUUGAAACACGGACCAAGGAGUCUAACAUGUAUGCGAGUGUUAGGGUAUUAAACCCAGACGCGAAAUGAAAGUGAGUGUAGGUGGGAUCCUUUAUUGGAGCACCAUCGACCGAUCUUGAGAUUUAUCGAUAGAAUUGAGUUAGAGC
RNAcentral lists this ribosomal RNA (885 nucleotides) under Gigaspora margarita. Its description in RNAcentral is "eukaryotic LSU rRNA". It matches the Rfam family "Eukaryotic large subunit ribosomal RNA", at positions 1 to 801 of the family's 3401-position model. Lineage: Eukaryota; Fungi; Glomeromycota; Glomeromycetes; Diversisporales; Gigasporaceae. The record is from RNAcentral.